Molecule: long non-coding RNA, 2156 nt
Organism: Diospyros lotus (date-plum)
Lineage: Eukaryota; Viridiplantae; Streptophyta; Magnoliopsida; Ericales; Ebenaceae
Exons: 3
Source: RefSeq, a predicted model, not a curated record
CGGGAUUGCCAAAAAAAAGCGCAGUAUCCAUUCUCAUUUCUCAGUCUCUGGUUCUGGGUCUUUCUUCGCUGCAUCUUCUUGAAUCUAUUCAGGAGUUGCAGGUUGCUGGGAUUUGCAGUCCUCAGUGGUGGUUCUUUCGCUGUUCGUAGCUGUGCGAUCGCCCCGUCUCUUUGCAGCGGGGUUUUGUUUCGUUCUCAUUUGAAGCGGUUCCUCGUCGCGGUAUGGGGUUUCUUUUUGGGGUUCCGGUUGGGGUUUUCUGCUAGCUAAGGCUGGUUGCAGGUUGGCUCCUUUCUGCUUGAGGUUUUCCGAUUGGGUCUUUCCAUGGAUUGGGGGUCUGACUGGUCAGUCUCGGUUGGGGGUCCUUUAAUUGAGGCCGAUCUGUGUGUUGGGAGUUCUGUUCGAUGGUCGCUCGCUGGUAGGAUAAUUCUGAUUGAGGUCCCGUUUGUUGACCGCGGAGUGUGUUCUCUGAUGGUGUUUUCUACAUUGCGAGAUGGGUCUCCUUAAUUGGGGUCCGUUUGGGGUCUUCUUUUAGCAAGGUUGUUCGCAGGUGUUAUGUUUUCUCUGGGUGGCUCUCCCCUGCUACAAAUCAAUUGUUUUUUCUGCUCGAAUUUGCUGCUGGUUCAUGCGUGAGGUGGUGUUUGAUGUGAUCUAAAGCUGGACCUGGCAUUUCCUGCUAUGAUCAUUUUUUAUCCUUACGCGUGAUGGAUCGGAAGCUGUUCGGUGUGAAUUUUCAAUAGGUUUUUGUGUGGAAGCAGGUUGGAUUUUCUGUAUUGGAGUCUGCUCGGUUGAUUGAUUUUCACGUCUCUUUCUGGGUUGCAGGACGCUCGCUUGAGUCCAUGGUAACUUCUGUUUCGUGCAAGGUUUCCGACGGUGGACGAGUUGAGGCAGACUGGCUCCUCAGAUUUAGUGCUCAGCACAUAGGUUGUGUUCUCUGGUCCGGGGUUCUCUCGAAAUGGGUCUGUUCGCGGAGAGGUGGAUCCGAUUGAUCAUUCCGGUUGGGGGGAUCCUUGAUUGGGUUCUGUCCGUGUGCUGGGGUUUCUGCUCGAUCGCUGGUUGGGAUCCUUGAAUUGGGUUUCCGAUUGAAGUGGGUUUUCUGAUUGGGUUUUGAUUCAGUUUCAGAUUUGGUGGGUGGUGUCCAGAUCUGGAUCGUUCUGGUGCUCCAAGUCAACCAGCUGAUCUCCUGCCAGCUUGAAGGUUUUCCUCGUGGAUACUUUCGUGGUGGGUUUCCGAUUGGUGGGGCCCAGUUGAUCCUGGGUGUUCGUGGCUGAUUUGCCCUGUUUUGAAAAUUUAAAUUUGAAUUUUCGUUGCAUUCUGCCUUGACGGAUAAAUUCUAUCAGCAGUCUAAUAAAUUACUGUUUACAGUUGGAUCAAUUAAAAUUUUAUUUUUAUUCUUUACGAGAAUCAUUCUUUAUAGCCCAUAAAUUUUCAAAUAUGCCCUCAUAGUCACAGCCACACCAUUUCUCAUAUUUCUCAAUCAAACCCUAAUAAUCGCUGGCCAUUGUUUUGAGAGGAAGAAGAAAUCUAGACUGCAAAAUCAGCAUGGCAUGUACUCGAGGGAGAGGAGUAAAGGGAGCUUGCCUAUAUUCAUCUCAUCAGCAUCCGACAGCUUCCACAAGAAGGAGAAGGGUAGAGGGUCAUGAUGAUCGUUUUGUAGAUACAUCUAUCUCAAAGUCAGUGACGCACAUUUCAGAGCAGUCAGGAAAGAGGUGUAUUGAGGUGCAAUAGCCAUGGACAAAGAAUUCCUGAUUGGCCAUUGACAAAUCAGCAACGUAUUCAUGAUGUUAUCGUAAGAUCUCGAUUGGCAUCUUUGAUAUAAUGCACGUAUUGAUUUGUGAAUCCUACAGUCGUGUCAGUCUUUUCAGAGAGAUGGCAGCCAGAGACUAACACAUUUCAUCUACUAUUUGGUGAGAUGACAGUCACGCUAGAUGACGUUGCUACUAUUCUGAAGAUACCAGUUGCUGGCAGCCCUGUAUCAGUCCCUCAUUUGACAAAUAAUGAAGCUCAGAACUUACUAUGUUGAUUACUUGGGGUCUCGGUAGUAAAAACAAUAGGCCAGAUAGUGGAGACUCGGGGAUCGUAUGUAAAAUUAGAUUGACUGAGAAUAACGUUUAUGAACGUACCAAAUUCAGCUCCGGAUGAAGAGAUCUACAAUGUUA